RNAcentral lists this transfer RNA (85 nucleotides) under Archaeoglobales archaeon. Its description in RNAcentral is "tRNA-Ser". It matches the Rfam family "tRNA". Rfam says of the family: Transfer RNA (tRNA) molecules are approximately 80 nucleotides in length. Their secondary structure includes four short double-helical elements and three loops (D, anti-codon, and T loops). The record is from RNAcentral. Lineage: Archaea; Methanobacteriati; Methanobacteriota; Archaeoglobi; Archaeoglobales.
GCGGGGGUUGCCGAGCCAGGCCAAAGGCGGUGGACUCGAGAUCCACUCCCGUAGGGGUCCGAGGGUUCGAAUCCCUCCCCCCGCA